This 255-nucleotide ribosomal RNA is filed under the name Mycobacterium sp. ITM-2017-0098. RNAcentral's name for it is "partial 16S ribosomal RNA". It matches the Rfam family "Bacterial small subunit ribosomal RNA", at positions 439 to 706 of the family's 1533-position model. The record is from RNAcentral. Lineage: Bacteria; Bacillati; Actinomycetota; Actinomycetes; Mycobacteriales; Mycobacteriaceae.
CCAGGGACGAAGCGCAAGUGACGGUACCUGGAGAAGAAGGACCGGCCAACUACGUGCCAGCAGCCGCGGUAAUACGUAGGGUCCGAGCGUUGUCCGGAAUUACUGGGCGUAAAGAGCUCGUAGGUGGGUUGUCGCGUUGUUCGUGAAAACUCACAGCUCAACUGUGGGCGUGCGGGCGAUACGGGCAGACUGGAGUACUGCAGGGGAGACUGGAAUUCCUGGUGUAGCGGUGGAAUGCGCAGAUAUCAGGAGGAA